Molecule: ribosomal RNA, 324 nt
Filed under: uncultured Bacillota bacterium
Lineage: Bacteria; Bacillati; Bacillota
Description: bacterial SSU rRNA
Rfam family: Bacterial small subunit ribosomal RNA
Source: RNAcentral
UGCAUUAGCUAGUUGGUAAGGUAAAGGCUUACCAAGGCGAUGAUGCAUAGCCCGAGUUGAGAGACUGAUCGGGCCACAUUGGGGACUGAGACACGGGGCCCAAACUCCUACGGGGGGAGGGGCAGCAGUAGGGGGAAUCUUCCACAAUGGACGACAAGUCUGAUGGAGACAACGCCGCGUGAGUAGAAGUUAAGGUUUCGGAUACGUAAAGCUCUGUUGUUGGUGAAGAAGGAUAGAGGUAGUAACGUCGGUCCUUUAUUUGAACGGUAAUACUAACCAAGAAAGUCGACGGACUAACUACGUCGCCAGCACGCCGACGGUAAU